GACGAACGCUGGCGGCGUGCUUAACACAUGCAAGUCGAGCGGUAAGGCCCUUUCGGGGGUACACGAGCGGCGAACGGGUGAGUAACACGUGGGUGACCUGCCCUCAGCUCUGGGAUAAGCCCGGGAAACUGGGUCUAAUACCGGAUAUGACUCCACGGUGCAUGUCGUGGGGUGGAAAGCCUUGUGCGGCUGAGGAUGGGCCCGCGGCCUAUCAGCUUGUUGGUGGGGUGAUGGCCACCAAGGCGACGACGGGUAGCCGGCCUGAGAGGGCGACCGGCCACACUGGGACUGAGACACGGCCCAGACUCCUACGGGAGGCAGCAGUGGGGAAUCUUGCGCAGUGGGCGAAAGCCUGACGCAGCGACGCCGCGUGAGGGAUGACGGCCUCGG
Molecule: ribosomal RNA, 390 nt
Filed under: uncultured bacterium
Lineage: Bacteria
Description: bacterial SSU rRNA
Rfam family: Bacterial small subunit ribosomal RNA
Source: RNAcentral